RNAcentral lists this ribosomal RNA (336 nucleotides) under Triticum aestivum (bread wheat). Its description in RNAcentral is "partial small subunit ribosomal RNA". Lineage: Eukaryota; Viridiplantae; Streptophyta; Magnoliopsida; Poales; Poaceae. The record is from RNAcentral.
AUGGUCCCCGGGGAGUCAUGGAGGUUUGUUUCCUGCAAUAGACGUGGCAAAAAAUCUCUGCCACAUGGAGAUGGUUGCUGCUGCACUGCAUGUGGAUACAGAGGAAAGAAGUUCAGGCAAAAUUCCAUUAGGCUUUGCUCUACUCUUAGUUACCAUGAGAUUUCAUCAAUCGCUCUACAUGGUGUCGUGCUUACUCUCGACAUGCAAUGGAUUCAAGUGUGCGUAGGGAGCUUUUCUCAACCACAUAGUGACAAAUGCACGAGCCUUACGGUCUAUGGUGUCACCGGCAUGCAAGUUGCUAAUCUCCAUUGGAUCACUGCGUGGGGUCGCACAUAG